UUGGUGCCUUCGGGAACUCUGAGACAGGUGCUGCAUGGCUGUCGUCAGCUCGUGUUGUGAAAUGUUGGGUUAAGUCCCGCAACGAGCGCAACCCUUAUCCUUUGUUGCCAGCGGUUCGGCCGGGAACUCAAAGGAGACUGCCAGUGAUAAACUGGAGGAAGGUGGGGAUGACGUCAAGUCAUCAUGGCCCUUACGAGUAGGGCUACACACGUGCUACAAUGGCGCAUACAAAGAGAAGCGACCUCGCGAGAGCAAGCGGACCUCAUAAAGUGCGUCGUAGUCCGGAUUGGAGUCUGCAACUCGACUCCAUGAAGUCGGAAUCGCUAGUAAUCGUGGAUCAGAAUGCCACGGUGAAUACGUUCCCGGGCCUUGUACACACCGCCCGUCACACCAUGGGAGUGGGUUGCAAAAGAAGUAGGUAGCUUAACCUUCGGGAGGGCGCUUACCACUUUGUGAUUCAUGACUGGGGUGAAGUCGUAACAAGGUAACCGUAGGGGAACCUGCGGUUGGAUCACCUCCUUA
This 522-nucleotide ribosomal RNA is filed under the name Enterobacter bugandensis. RNAcentral describes it as "bacterial SSU rRNA". It matches the Rfam family "Bacterial small subunit ribosomal RNA", at positions 1011 to 1533 of the family's 1533-position model. Lineage: Bacteria; Pseudomonadati; Pseudomonadota; Gammaproteobacteria; Enterobacterales; Enterobacteriaceae. The record is from RNAcentral. RNAcentral also lists the same sequence under 1 other name.